Long non-coding RNA from Oncorhynchus keta (chum salmon), 762 nucleotides. RefSeq lists it as uncharacterized. The transcript has 4 exons. NCBI's taxonomy places the organism in Eukaryota, Metazoa, Chordata, Actinopteri, Salmoniformes, Salmonidae. The record is from RefSeq and is a predicted model, not a curated record.
UAGCCUAGUGGUUAGAGUGUAGAGGUGGCAGGUAGCCUAGUGGUUAGAGUGUAGAGGAGGCAGGUAGCCUAGUGGUUAGAGUGUAGAGGAGGCAGGUAGCCUAGUGGUUAGAUUGUAGAGGAGGCAGGUAGCCUAGUGGUUAGAGUGUAGAGGUGGCAGGUAGCCUAGUGGUUAGAGUGUAGAGGUGGCAGGUAGCCUAGUGGUUAGAGUGUAGAGGUGGCAGGUAGCCUAGUGGUUAGAGUGUAGAGGUGGCAGGUAGCCUAGUGGUUAGAGUGUAGAGGAGGCAGGUAGCCUAGUGGUUAGAGUGUAGAGGUGGCAGGUAGCCUAGUGGUUAGAGUGUAGAGGUGGAAGGUAGCCUAGUGGUUAGAGUGUAGAGGUGGCAGGUAGCCUAGUGGUUAGAGUGUAGAGGUGGCAGGUAGCCUAGUGGUUAGAGUGUAGAGGUGGCAGGUAGCCUAGUGGUUAGAGUGUAGAGGUGGCAGGUAGCCUAGUGGUUAGAGUGUAGAGGAGGCAGGUAGCCUAGUGGUUAGAGUGUAGAGGUGGCAGGUAGCCUAGUGGUUAGAGUGUAGAGGUGGCAGGUAGCCUAGUGGUUAGAGUGUAGAGGUGGCAGGUAGCCUAGUGGUUAGAGUGUAGAGGUGGCAGGUAGCCUAGUGGUUAGAGUGUAGAGGUGGAAGGUAGCCUAGUGGUUAGAGUGUAGAGGUGGCAGGUAGCCUAGUGGUUAGAGUGUAGAGGUGGCAGGUAGCCUAGUGGUUAGAGUGUAGAGGC